CUAUUCCCUUAAACGACACAUCAAUCAACAUUAUUGAAGACUCCGGUACAUAUAAAGCAACAUAUAACUGCAAUGGUGGAGCGAAUCUGAUUGGUAAUGGUGUUAUAACAUGCCAAAACAAUCUUACAUGGACGGCUCCGUUAUUCUUUUGUUCAGAGUGUUCCGAUCCACCAGUUAUUCCGCAUGGAAACUUGCAUAUUGACUUAAUACAGACUGAUCAACUGGUAUACUAUGAUUGCAAUGAAGGAUUUAAUUUCUAUGGCGAAACAUAUAUCAAAUGUCAAAAUGACGACACAUGGACCAACCCGAAAUUCGUUUGUACACCCUGCAUCGAACCACCAAGUGUUCAAAAUGCUUCCUACAAAAUUGAAAACAUCAACAGCAAUUAUGAAGUGCUUUAUGAAUGUGAUGGAGGACUAUUGUUGAUUGGAAACAAAUUCAUAAAUUGUCAGUUAAACGGGACUUGGACAUAUCCAACAUUAUUAU
Molecule: long non-coding RNA, 486 nt
Organism: Mytilus trossulus (common blue mussel)
Lineage: Eukaryota; Metazoa; Mollusca; Bivalvia; Mytilida; Mytilidae
Exons: 3
Source: RefSeq, a predicted model, not a curated record